This 252-nucleotide ribosomal RNA is filed under the name uncultured bacterium. RNAcentral describes it as "partial 16S ribosomal RNA". It matches the Rfam family "Bacterial small subunit ribosomal RNA", at positions 524 to 776 of the family's 1533-position model. The record is from RNAcentral.
UACGGAGGAUGCGAGCGUUGUCCGGAUUUAUUGGGUUUAAAGGGUGCGUAGGCGGAUCGUUAAGUCAGUGGUCAAAUUGAGGGGCUCAACCCCUUCCCGCCAUUGAAACUGGCGCUCUUGAGUGGAAGAGAAGUAUGCGGAAUGCGUGGUGUAGCGGUGAAAUGCAUAGAUAUCACGCAGAACCCCGAUUGCGAAGGCAGCAUGCCGGCUUCCGACUGACGCUGAAGCACGAAAGCGUGGGGAUCGAACAGG